RNAcentral lists this ribosomal RNA (253 nucleotides) under uncultured bacterium. RNAcentral's name for it is "partial 16S ribosomal RNA". It matches the Rfam family "Bacterial small subunit ribosomal RNA", at positions 524 to 776 of the family's 1533-position model. The record is from RNAcentral.
UACGUAGGGUGCAAGCGUUGUCCGGAAUCAUUGGGCGUAAAGAGCGUGUAGGCGGCUCGAUUAGUCCGCUGUAAAAGUCCAGGGCUCAACCCUGGGAUGCCGGUGGAAACUGUCGGGCUAGAGUCCGGGAGAGGCGAGUGGAAUUCUUGGUGUAGCAGUGAAAUGCGUAGAUAUCAAGAGGAACACCAGUGGCGAAGGCGAGUCCCUGGACAACUUCUGACGCUGAGGCACGAAAGCUAGGGGAGCAAACAGG